This is a non-coding RNA of Python bivittatus (Burmese python), 474 nucleotides long. Lineage: Eukaryota; Metazoa; Chordata; Lepidosauria; Squamata; Pythonidae. The record is from RefSeq and is a predicted model, not a curated record.
AACCCCAAGGCUUGCAGGGCCAGGCCAGGCACUCCUGCUUCAAGCUCAAGUGAGGGUUGCAGCCUUCGGUGGGUCUGAGAGUGGGGCAGACCAUUCACCCUUCUUCUGAAUAUGCACCCCGAUUCGUCUCGCUUAGAUACAACGACCUCCAUCAGUUUGAGCUUCCCGGGCCCACCAGAGUCAUCGAGUGGACGGGAGACCAGCGCAUCUGUGUAGCUGGAUAUGGGGACGGGGGCAGGAACGAAAUUCUGCAGCUCCUUCUGCCUCUGAGGCUCCUCGCGAAGCAGAAUAAGGGUUUAUGUCCAGAGAGAGAUUUCAAGGUUGAGCGGGGUGGAAUGUGCGAUCGCCCUGUGUACGGGCUGAAACACGUCCCAGGAAGCAGCUUGCUGGUGACCAGUGGCCCGCCGGACAGUGCGCUGCAGGUCUGGCGCAUGGAACCAGAUGAAACAGGUGUGUGAGCAGAAACUGCUCAAC